CUUCCCGUGCGCAAGGCCCCGGGAGCUCAUCAGCUUGCGUAACCAUCACUUACAAUGAUAACCAAGGGGAGUGCUGAAGGCAGAAAAUCACUGAACUGGGGAGCCCAGAAAGCAGCAGCCGUAAAUACGAGAUGACCUUCCAAGAGCCGGAUGCCUGAAUUUACGACUUUGGAGACUACGAGACCAUGGGCCGCAGCAAGGGGAGCAUCGCGGCAGCAGGGGGCUGAGGAGGAAGGGAGAGCUCACGGCCUUAAGUGAGGAGCGCAGCGGCCAGGCUGGACCUUCGCCGGCUCGCGGCAGGGCCUUCGCGGCGCCGCCCGCAGUAAGGCUCCGUGAGAAGAGCUGUGGACCAGGCCGGCGGCCCGAACGAUCCCGAUCCCGGGGCCUGAGGGCCGCUCCGGGACGCGCUCGAGGGCAAGGGGCGGGAGGCCAGGUCAAGGUCAGGCCCUGGGAAUAAGCCGGGGGAGGAGGAGCGACUCUGAAGGGGCGGGGCGACCGAUCGCGUCCCUGGGCAGGCACAGGGCACAGCACCGACUGCAAGCUAGGUUAAAGGCCACGUUUCGGGAUCCGGCAGGAAGCUCCUGUCCGUGGAGGGCCGCAGUCUAGCAUGUCCUGUCCUGUGUUCUUGACCACAAGGCCACCAUGCAGUGAGCAGCUGUCCUCCACCAGGCUCUUUUGCCUCAUGUUUCUGGAGUGGAGCAGCUGGCCAUGGACUGAACCCAGUGGAACUGUGAACCAACAGGGAAGUCUGUGCAGGUAUGCUGCUUUAAACAAGGUGGACUUAGCCAAGGCAGCGGAUGAUCUUGUGUUAAGGCGGAGUGCAAACACAUCUUGCCUGCUUUGUGAGAGGUUUCCAGAGAACUCGCAGGUGCAGCAGAACCACGGCUGGGCGGAGGGGCCACUGGGCCCUCUAGGAACUUCUCUCAAAUAUACCACAGGAGGCACUGCUCCCUGCAGAGUUCACGUGGGACGUCUUUAACUGUCCGCCAGUCUGUUUUCCCCAGAAUCAAACAUCUGCCCAAGUCCAAGAACAUCUCAAGAAGCCAAAAUAAAUACAGAAACCUUUUCCCAUAGCUCACCAGUUGAUUUUCCCAGCUAUAAAAAGAUGUUUCAACUGACAGGAAAUAGUUCCCUGACUGACACAGGUCUCCUGAGAGGAAGUGUGACUUCUUGUCCACUAACAUUUCAUGGUGGCUGAGAAUCAGCCUGCCUUCCUCUGAGGGCUUCCUAGGGCAACCAGUUGUUCAGGUCAGGAGUACCAUGAUAUAAUCUGAACCCAAUGAUCCUUGUAAAUACUCCAAUUCCAGGGAAAUCCUCAUCUUUGCCCUAAUUACAGCUUUUUUUUUUUUUGGUACUGGGGAUCGAACUCAGGACCUUGCACCUGCAAGGCAGGUGCUGGAACCACUGAGCUAAAUCCCAGGCCCACAAAUUGUUUUAAUUAACUCAAGGAAUAAGGCCCAGGCCUAUUUGGAGAUAUAUUCUCCCUUACAGCUUCUAGAAGUUCAAGAGGCAAAAUAUUUUUCAACAUUAGGUGAUCCAUUCCAAAUUAUUAAUUUCAUCUAACGAAGUAUGAUCGUUUUCUGUUGCUGCUGUAACCAAUGACCACAAAUUUAGGGACUUAACACAAAUUUUUGCCAUGACAGUUCGGUAAUGGUCCAAAAUCUCACGCCCGCCUGCCAAUGGCUGGGCUAUUUCUUCUGGAAGGCCCGGGAGAAUGUGUCCUGGUUUGGCCUGACUGGUACCACGUCCCUCCAACUCUGUCCACCCGUCCCUCUCCCUCCUGUGGCCCCUGUACCACCCUUGUAAGUCCACUCAUGAUUGCAUUUAGGGGCCACACAAGUACUACAGCACAGCCUCCCCACCUCACCCAGUCUCCUCUGCAAAGCCUCUGUUGCCACACAAAGUAACGCUCAAGGUUCUGGGAUUAUAAGUAUGAGUCCUGGGCGGGGAGGUCUAUAACUUGCCUAAUACAUAUGGGUUUGAAUUCAUUUUAAAUAAUGUGGUCCAGCCUCUACUGCUUUUAAAGUAAUUUCUUAUUUUAUACGUGACGCCGUGGGCAAGCUGACGAAGCCCUAUUUCUUUGUCUAGCAGGCUAUGCUACUGUAAUUGCUAACUGGAAAGCCUGUCCCUCAUCGGACUCUCGUUAGUCUCGUCUAGGACCACAAGACCGCCUACCGUAUUUCCUGCGUUGCCCUGGUCAAUGGUUUCAGUUCCCAGAAAAUGAAUCUUAACAGUCAGAAUUUUUGAUUGCCAGAGUAACCUUGCUUGAACUGGUUUAAAUUUUUUAAAAAAGUGUUGGCUCACAAAACUGAAAAUUGCAGUGGUGUUGAUGGGCUUGGGCACAAAUAGAAGCAAAUACUCAGUUAUGUCCUCAGGAACAUUUUGAAGUCAGUGUUUAUGCUGGGGGUGGACCACAGGGCCUCACGCAUGCCAGGCACAGGUUCUACACGGAGCACCCAGCCCCUCAUCUUCAGGAAUUUCCAAUCCGUCCCUUCCCUUCAACCUGCUUCGCUUAGUCUUGGUUUUUUCUCAGCCGAAGGCUAAUGCUCUAAUGCUCAUAAGUGUUGCAAAACAACAUCUCAGAAGUGCUGAUCUUCUAAUCUACCAACUUAGCAACCCAACAGCUGGAGGCAAUGCCUUUCUCUCAGAAGUUGCAGCAAAGGUCCCAGGGGUGUUGUCCCUGACCCAGGGGAAGUCACAGCACAUUACCGGCCCUGACGCCAUGGCUUCUGGGGUAUGUAUGUGCUCUGACUGUCGAAGCCUGAGCUCUAUGUCUCCUUGAAACCUAGGAGGAGCCCUUGUCCCAGGCCACAUAAGGGAGGCUUGGUCUCCCCAAAAUAAAGGUAAACUCAGCAGAAAGAGAAGUUGAUGGUGGGCCAAACAAAUUAACAUGUCUGCUACACUAGUUUCAGACCCAGGUGCUGCCUGUACAAGGAACAUCUAAUAGUGACGAAUUUCUCGAGGCAAGACUGUGCUUGCCCCUUACGCUAGACCCUUUCCCUCCAUCCUUGAGUAAUGCAGCACUACUCAGCUGUGUGUGGAUUCUCAGACACCAGAGUCGGGGAAAAUGAUCUCUUCUUAUGCCCAGGGCUGAGCCAAGAAAAGCCUGUUUCCUUGCUGAAAUAACCUGACACUGCAGGAUUGCAAAACCACGUCACAAAAGUCUCAACUCAGAUCUGUAAACCAUGGGAACCCUGAAAGAAAUGAUUGGUUGGAUUGUCCAGAGAUUACAUGACUACAAUGAAAGUGUAAAGUUUAGAUAGCACAUUCUCACUUUCGCCAAAACAGAACACUAAUGUGACCCAAUGUUUCUUAUUUCCAAAAAGCCCCUGACUAAAUCAAGUAAAAAGAAACCAACAAAGCUUUCCAUGUCCCGGCUUGUAACAUUUCUCUUCAUAAAUGAGUUCCUAGAUACUUGAAUUUGAAAAUCCAUCUCUAGGUUGGGUAUUCACUUUUCAUCUAAAAGUAAAUAUAUAUUGUUAAUCUGA
Heterocephalus glaber (naked mole-rat) is the source of this 3488-nucleotide long non-coding RNA. RefSeq lists it as uncharacterized. The record is from RefSeq and is a predicted model, not a curated record. NCBI's taxonomy places the organism in Eukaryota, Metazoa, Chordata, Mammalia, Rodentia, Bathyergidae.